GGUGUCGUGGCCGAGUGGUGAAGCCAAUAAACUAAAAAUCUUUUGGGAUCUUCCCGCGUAGGUUCGAAUGCUGGCGACAACG
RNAcentral lists this transfer RNA (82 nucleotides) under Dreissena polymorpha. RNAcentral's name for it is "tRNA-Phe". The record is from RNAcentral. Lineage: Eukaryota; Metazoa; Mollusca; Bivalvia; Myida; Dreissenidae.